GACGAACGCUGGCGGCGUGCUUAACACAUGCAAGUCGAACGGAAAGGCCCUGCUUUUGCGGGGUGCUCGAGUGGCGAACGGGUGAGUAACACGUGAGUAACCUGCCCUUGACUUUGGGAUAACUUCAGGAAACUGGGGCUAAUACCGGAUAGGAGCUCCUGCUGCAUGGUGGGGGUUGGAAAGUUUCGGCGGUUGGGGAUGGACUCGCGGCUUAUCAGCUUGUUUGUGGGGUAGUGGCUUACAAAGGCUUUGACGGGUAGCCGGCCUGAGAGGGUGACCGGGCACCAUGCGACUGCGGGAGGGCGCAGUAGCCUACGGGACGCAGCAGGCGGGAGUCUUACGGAAUGGCGGGAAGCCAGAUGCGACGAUCUCGCGUUCGGAAUGCCCUCCUUCGAGUUAUAAACAGCUGUGGACUGUGCUGAACCGGGAGUGACGGUAAUUGAUCAAGAAGCACCGGCUAACUACGUG
RNAcentral lists this ribosomal RNA (468 nucleotides) under uncultured bacterium. Its description in RNAcentral is "partial 16S ribosomal RNA". It matches the Rfam family "Bacterial small subunit ribosomal RNA", at positions 28 to 507 of the family's 1533-position model. The record is from RNAcentral.